Molecule: ribosomal RNA, 252 nt
Filed under: uncultured bacterium
Lineage: Bacteria
Description: partial 16S ribosomal RNA
Rfam family: Bacterial small subunit ribosomal RNA
Source: RNAcentral
UACGGAGGUGGCAGGCGUUACUCGGAUUGAUUGGGUGUAAAGGGCGUGUAGGCGGUGCGUUAAGUCGAGUGUGAAAUCCAUGGCUCAACCAUGGAACUGCAUUCGAAACUGACGUGCUUGAGUGUUGGAGAGGAAAGCGGAAUUCCCGGUGUAACAGUGAAAUGUGUAGAUAUCGGGAGGAACACCAGUGGCGAAGGCGGCUUUCUGGACAACUACUGACGCUGAAACGCGAGAGCUAGGGGAGCAAACAGG